Molecule: long non-coding RNA, 5812 nt
Filed under: Selaginella moellendorffii
Lineage: Eukaryota; Viridiplantae; Streptophyta; Lycopodiopsida; Selaginellales; Selaginellaceae
Description: long non-coding RNA (SMOE_LNC000378)
Source: RNAcentral
UCUUCCGUCCACAAGCUUGCAUUGCUGGAGCCGGGGACCAUGGUGGAAAGAGGACCCACUGCGAUUGCUUUGGGAGAGAUGUCUCGGAAAGCUUGGAAGGUGGCACUGCCCUCGAGUUCUUCGAACGAGUUGAUCAAAACCCAUGACGUUGUGGCGAGGCUCUUGGCUCUAGCGCAUCUGCGAGCGAAUCCCGGCUCGUCGUCACUGGCAGAAAAGUCGCCCGGGAGGCUCCACAUUGGUAGUGGUGACAAGCCGUCUACGUAAGUUAUGCGCUUCUCAAUGGAACGAUCUGGUGGAACACGUAUAUGGACGUCAGUGCUUCUCGAAAGAAGGAAAAAUAAAAAAGAAGAAAGAAGCUUUACCUUGGACUGGAAUGUCUCCCUUCUCCAGCAUUUGGGGAAACGAGUUGUAGAGCAAAAUGGAAGAAGCACUGGCGACCCAGAACUUGACCUCUGGGAUUCCGAUCCUUCUGGGUACUUCCGUGGACCACGGGAACAACAUAUCCGAGAUGAAGCAUGAGACCGGAGGAACGAGAUCAUCGUCUCUGGCCAUGCUCCUGAUGAGCAAGCUCUCCACUGGACCCUGCAUCGCCAUCAAUGCCUCGGAGAACAUUGGCCGCGUCUCCGGGGCCGUGAAGUCGGCCUCGCUCGUUUGGACCCCGGGGACCGUCUCGAAACGAAUGCUGCCACCAUAGCCAAAGCUCUCCUCCUGUGAAACGAUGUCCUUCAGGUCCCUGUGGUUGCCCUCCGUGUUGAUGAAAGUUAUGACGAAGCCUCGCGAGGCCAGAGCUCUGGAGAGAUGGAGGAAUGGAGUGAUGUGGCCUAGAGUUGGAAUGGGAAGAACCGCUGCGUGAGGAGCGAGCCCCUCGGCACCAGUAGAAGAACUCAUUGACGAAGAACAAAGAAAAUUCAAGCUUACUUCGUGAGUGCUGUGGAAGGGUUUCUCACAUUACGUUUUCUGGAUCGCUCCAAGGCUGAGCUUAAGAAUCAGUGCGUUUUGCAAAGGUUUUAAUCUAGUGGUCUCCACAGUUCUAAUCUCCUUAUUGCACGUGGUGGUUCAGGAAUUUAAUACUCCUCUUGAUUACUCCCUCAAGCCAUCUAUUUCUUUGGGAAGGAAAAUAACACUUCCACCAACCUAUACACUUUCAAGCAUCAUCUUUAUGUGCUCUUGGUGGUUGGUCUGUCUGUGCAUUGGCCCCGCCCUCAUGCCCGAUGAUCCUCCUGCCACCAGCUGCGGCAUUGGAUAUAAAUUACCUUAUGAAACUUGACAAACUUGUCCGAACUUUCAUAUGAAGAUCUUGACUUCUUUCACUGUUGCUCCCUGAGCAGCCUCGCUGAGCUCCUUCACAUUACAUCUAAAGGAAUCGCCAUUCUCAGCUCCCAUGAGCUGCUCCACCACCUCCGCAAACUCGUCCCCGCCACCACCUUGCGAGGAUCUCUCAUGGGCGAGAACUUAAGAUCGAUCUUCCAGUCUUCCACUAUAAGCUUGCAGUUGAGAUUCUGCUCGGCAACUCAUGGCCAGCAAAGGAUUGGCACCGCUGAAGAUACGCUCUCGCAGCCUGUGGAAGGAUGCUGGAGGAUUUCCAAUUGAGGAGCCCAGCUCACAACCAGUCCAAAGCUGAUCACUUGCAAGGAGAGCCUUGAAAGCCUCCAGGAACUCGGGCUCUAUGCCAGGGACCAACUUGAGACAAAUGGCCAUUAUAACUGGCCUCUAGAGCUCUUCCAAUCUUGCUAGUAUUUCUUUAAGCUGUUCCUUGCUCUUUAGUUUUUUUCAUUUUUUGUUUUCCAUUUUUUAGUGUUUAAUUCUUUUAUCGUGGUUCCCCUUUGACUCCAGAACUUUACACUCUCUUUCUUCUUAUUAUUUUUUCUUUGUUUUUCUUUAGUUUCUUCUCCUCGCAUCAGUUUCUGACAUAAGGCAUCGCCUUGGAGUCUACACUAGCACAUUGGCCAUGGGUUCUUGCACGGGACAAAGUCCAGCACAUUCCCUCAUGGUUGCGUGUUUUGGAGAUAGCAUCCCCCAAAGGAUGAAAGUGAGAGCUUGGCAGAGAUGCAAGAGUGGAGAGAUGUGGCCUUGAGCUGGGAGGGAGAGAGAAAGAGUAAUAUAUUCUUGAAUAGAGUAGAUGCUUUGAAGUUUUCUCUUAGCUUGGAUUGAAGUUCAGGAAAUUUUCACUGCUUGACCAAAUCUCUCCAGGUUUUCAUACGAGGAGCCACCUCUAGACACUGCUCUGCGAGCCUCCUCGCUCAGCUUCUUCACGUUAAUCCUCAAAUGCUCACUGUCAGUUCCCAUGAAUCGCUCCACCACCUCCACAAACUCGUCCCUCGCCAUCACCUCGGGAGGAUCCGGCAUGGUCACGCACGAGAACUUGAGACCGAUCUUCCAGUCCUCCACUAUCAACUUGCAGUUUAGAUUCUGCUCGGCGACGCACGGCCAGCAAAGAAUGGGCACCGCGGAUGCUACGCUCUCGAGGAUGGAGUUCCAGCCGCAGUGACUGAGAAAUCCAGCGGUGGAAGGGUGGCGGAGGAUGUCCACCUGAGGAGCCCAGCUCACAACCAGUCCAAAGCUCCUCACGGUCUCCUUGAAACGCUCCAGGAACUCGGGCUCCAUGCCGUUGACCGACUUGGGUCGGAUGGCCCAGAUAAACGGACGCUGGAGAAGCCUCAGUCCCUCGGAGAACUCCUUGAACUGAUCGAAGCUGAGAGUCGCGAUGCUGCCCAAGGAAAUGUAGAGAACCGAGCCGGGACUUUGCUUGCCGAGCCAGGAUAAACUCUCGGUGUCUUCCUUCCACAAGCUUGCCUUGUUAGAGCCGGGGACCAUGGUGAAAACAGGACCCACUGCGAUUGCUUUGGGAGAGAUGUCUCGGAGGGCUUGGAAGGUGGCACUGCCCUCGAGUUCUUCGAACGAGUUGAUCAAAACCCACGACGUUGUGGCGAAGCUCUUGGCUCUAGCGUAUCUGCGAGCGAAUCCUGAUUCGUCAAUGGUAGAAAGGUCGCACGGGAGGCCCCAGAUUGGCAGUGGUGACAAGCCGUCUACGUAAGUGAUGUACUUUUCAAUGGAACGAUCUGGCGGAACGCGUUAGUGCUUCUCGAAAGAAGGACAAAUAAAAAAGAAGAAAGAAGCCUUACCUUGGACUGGAACGUCUCCCUUCUCCAGCAUUCGCGGAAACGAGCAAUCGAGCAAAACGCAAGAGGCACUGGCGGUCCAGAACUUGACCUCUGGGAUUCCGGUCCUUCUUGCUACUUCCGCGGACCACGGAAGCAACAUAUCCGAGAUGAAGCACGAGACCGGAGGAACGAGAUCAUCGUCUCUGGCCAUGCUCCUGAUGAGCAAGCUCUCCACUGGACCCUGCAUCGCCAUCACCGCCUCGAAGAAGAUUUGCCGCGUCUCCGGGGCCGUGAAGUCGGCCUCGCUCGCUUGGAUCCCGGGGACCGUCUCGAAACGAAUGCCGCCGCCAUAGCCAAAGCUCUCCUCCUGCGAAACGACGUCCUUCAAGUCCCUGUGGUUGCCCUCCGUGUUGAUGAAAGUUAUGACGAAGCCUCGCGAGGCCAGAGUUCUGGAGAGAUGGAGGAAUGGAGUGAUGUGGCCUAGAGUUGGAAUGGGAAGAACCGCUGCGUGAGGAGCGAGCCCCUCGGCACCAGUAGAAGAACCCAUUGACGAAGAACAAAGAAAAUUCAAGCUUACUUCGUGAGUGCUGUGGAAGGGUUUCUCACAUUACCUUUUCUGGAUAAGCUUGAAAUCGCUCCAAGGCCGAGCUUAAGAAUCAGUGCGUUUUGCAAAAGGUUUUAAUCUAGUGUUCUCCACACUUCUAAUCUCCUUAUUGCACGCGGUGGUUCAGGAAUUUAAUACUCCUCUUGAUUACUCCCUCAAGCCAUCUAUUUCUUUGGGAAGGAAAAUAACACUUCCACCAACCUAUACACUUUCAAGUAUCAUCUUUAUGUGCUCUUGGUCUGUCUGUGCAUUGGCCCCGUCCUCAUACCCGAUGAUCGUCCUGCCACCAGCUGCGGCAUUGGAUAUAAAUUACCUUAUGAAGCUUGACGAACUUGUCCAAACUUUCAUAUGAAGAUCCUGCCUUCUUUCACUGUUGCUCCCUGAGCAGCCUCGCUGAGCUCCUUCACAUUACAUCUAAAGGAAUCGCCAUUCUCAGCUCCCAUGAGCUGCUCCACCACCUCCGCAAACUCGUCCCCGCCACCACCUUGCGAGGAUCUCUCAUGGGCGAGAACUUAAGAUCGAUCUUCCAGUCUUCCACUAUAAGCUUGCAGUUGAGAUUCUGCUCGGCAACUCAUUGCCAGCAAAGGAUUGACACUGCUGAAGAUACACUCUCGCAGCCUGUGGAAGGAUGCUGGAGGAUUUCCAAUUGAGGAGCCCAGCUCACAACCAGUCCAAAGCUGAUCACUUGCAAGGAGAGCCUUGAAAGCCUCCAGGAACUCGGGCUCUAUGCCAGGGACCAACUUGAGACAAAUGGCCAUUAUAACUGGCCUCUAGAACUCUUCCAAUCUUGCUAGUAUUUCUUUAAGCUGUUCCUUGCUCUUUAGUUUUUUUCAUUUUUUGUUUUUCCAUUUUUUAGUGUUUAAUUCUUUUAUCGUGGUUCCCCACUUUACACUCUCUUUCUUCUUAUUAUUUUUUCUUUGUUUUUCUUUAGUUUCUUCUCCUCGCAUCAGUUUCUGACAUAAGGCAUCGCCUUGGAGUCUACACUAGCACAUUGGCCAUGGGUUCUUGCACGUGACAAAGUCCAGCACAUUCCCUCAUGGUUGCGUGUUUUGGAGAUAGCAUCCCCCAAAGGAUGAAAGUGAGAGCUUGGCAGAGAUGCAAGAGUGGAGAGAUGUGGCCUUGAGCUGGGAGAGAGAGAGAAAGAGUAAUAUAUUCUUGAAUAGAGUAGAUGCUUUGAAGUUUUCUCUUAGCUUGGAUUGAAGUUCAGGAAAUUUUCACUGCUUGACCAAAUCUCUCCAGGUUUUCAUACGAGGAGCCACCUCUAGACACUGCUCUGCGAGCCUCCUCGCUCAGCUUCUUCACGUUAAUCCUCAAAUGCUCACUGUCAGUUCCCAUGAAUCGCUCCACCACCUCCACAAACUCGUCCCUCGCCAUCACCUCGGGAGGAUCCGGCAUGGUCACGCACGAGAACUUGAGACCGAUCUUCCAGUCCUCCACUAUCAACUUGCAGUUUAGAUUCUGCUCGGCGACGCACGGCCAGCAAAGCAUGGGCACCGCGGAUGCUACGCUCUCGAGGAUGGAGUUCCAGCCGCAGUGACUGAGAAAUCCAGCGGUGGAAGGGUGGCGGAGGAUGUCCACCUGAGGAGCCCAGCUCACAACCAGUCCAAAGCUCCUCACGGUCUCCUUGAAACGCUCCAGGAACUCGGGCUCCAUGCCGUUGACCGACUUGGGUCGGAUGGCCCAGAUAAACGGACGCUGGAGAAGCCUCAGUCCCUCGGAGAACUCCUUGAACUGAUCGAAGCUGAGAGUCGCGAUGCUGCCCAAGGAAAUGUAGAGAACCGAGCCGGGACUUUGCUUGCCGAGCCAGGAUAAACUCUCGGUGUCUUCCUUCCACAAGCUUGCCUUGUUAGAGCCGGGGACCAUGGUGAAAACAGGACCCACUGCGAUUGCUUUGGGAGAGAUGUCUCGGAGGGCUUGGAAGGUGGCACUGCCCUCGAGUUCUUCGAACGAGUUGAUCAAAACCCACGACGUUGUGGCGAAGCUCUUGGCUCUAGCGUAUCUGCGAGCGAAUCCUGAUUCGUCAAUGGCAGAAAGGUCGCGCGGGAGGCCCCAGAUUGGCAGUGGUGACAAGCCGUCUACGUAAGUGAUGUACUUUUCAAUGGAACGA